UAUUGCAGCCUUAAAAUGCGUGCCGAACCCUCUCUAAAAACGUUAACAAUCCAAAGGGAUGGAGGGAGUAAAAUUUAAUGUUUAUAGGAUAGAAGUAUAGAACUAACAGAAGCGGAAAGUGCCAUUAGGAUGAUGAUGUUAUUUUGAUAAACCAUUUAAGUACCUGGUAGUGUGAAAACCUCUUUCAGUGGGUCCUCUUAUAUUGUUUAAUCUUGAUAUGUAUGUAACACUAUCGUAUUUAAAUUUAAUCUUGAUAUGUAUGUAACACUAUCGUAUUUAAACCCUAAACCCUAAACCGAGAUGGUUUUAAUUUUAAUGUCAACUUGCUUUUCAAAAAAAAAAAAAAUUUACAUGAGUUUUGUUGUUUAUUAUUAUAUUGCAUUGCAGG
Molecule: long non-coding RNA, 388 nt
Filed under: Daucus carota (carrot)
Lineage: Eukaryota; Viridiplantae; Streptophyta; Magnoliopsida; Apiales; Apiaceae
Description: long non-coding RNA (DCAR_LNC001118)
Source: RNAcentral